This 253-nucleotide ribosomal RNA is filed under the name uncultured bacterium. RNAcentral describes it as "partial 16S ribosomal RNA". It matches the Rfam family "Bacterial small subunit ribosomal RNA", at positions 524 to 776 of the family's 1533-position model. The record is from RNAcentral.
UACGUAGGUGGCAAGCGUUGUCCGGAUUUAUUGGGUUUAAAGGGUGCGUAGGCGGUCCUAUAAGUCAGUUGUGAAAUACGGCAGCCUAACUGUCGAGGUGCAAUUGAUACUGCAGGACUUGAGUACAGACGAGGUAGGCGGAAUUGACGGUGUAGCGGUGAAAUGCUUAGAUAUCGUCAAGAACACCGAUAGCGAAGGCAGCUUACUAGACUGUAACUGACGCUGAUGCACGAAAGUGUGGGGAUCAAACAGG